This 559-nucleotide ribosomal RNA is filed under the name uncultured bacterium. RNAcentral describes it as "bacterial SSU rRNA". It matches the Rfam family "Bacterial small subunit ribosomal RNA", at positions 1 to 518 of the family's 1533-position model. The record is from RNAcentral.
CUCCUACCUCCGUGUGUCGUCGUCGACGACGUCACGAGAGGUUCGAUUCUGGCUCAGAACGAACGCUGGCGGCGCGUUUAAGCAUGCAAGUCGAGCGGCAAGGGCCUUCGGGCCCCUAGAGCGGCGGACGGGUGAGUAACACGUGGACAAUCUGCCCCCCGGCCCGGGAUAGCCCAGGGAAACCUGGAUUAAUACCGGAUGAGACGGGACCCGCGAUGGCGGGAUCCGGGAAAGGCGCUGCGGCGCCGCCGGGGGGAUGAGUCUGCGUCCCAUUAGCUAGACGGCGGGGUAACGGCCCACCGUGGCGACGAUGGGUAGCCGGCCUGAGAGGGUGGACGGCCACAUUGGAACUGAGACACGGUCCAGACUCCUACGGGAGGCAGCAGCUAAGAAUCUUCCGCAAUGGGCGAAAGCCUGACGGAGCGAACCGCCGCGUGAACGAAGAAGGCCGUGAGGUUGUAAAGUUCUUUUCGGGAGGGGGAACAACCGUGGCAGGGAAUGGCCGCGGGAUGACGUGAAUCCCGGAAUAAGCCCCGGCUAACUACGUGCCAGCCGCCGC